This 98-nucleotide ribosomal RNA is filed under the name Siler montanum. Its description in RNAcentral is "Laserpitium siler partial 5.8S ribosomal RNA". It matches the Rfam family "5.8S ribosomal RNA", at positions 62 to 154 of the family's 154-position model. Rfam says of the family: 5.8S ribosomal RNA (5.8S rRNA) is a component of the large subunit of the eukaryotic ribosome. It is transcribed by RNA polymerase I as part of the 45S precursor that also contains 18S and 28S rRNA. Functionally, it is thought that 5.8S rRNA may be involved in ribosome translocation. The record is from RNAcentral. Lineage: Eukaryota; Viridiplantae; Streptophyta; Magnoliopsida; Apiales; Apiaceae.
UUGGUGUGAAUUGCAGAAUCCCGUGAACCAUCGAGUCUUUGAACGCAAGUUGCGCCCGAAGCCAUUAGGCCGAGGGCACGUCUGCCUGGGUGUCACGC